UCAAACCACACCUUGACACCUGUGACUCUUGUCUUCUCAGAGUGUCUUUGGGGGGAAUGUACAUCACACGUCCAUCCCUGAAGGUGGGACGCUACAAGAUGGUCAAACACAAGCUGGACAAAGGCAAUGAUGUCAACCCGAACAGGUUCACCAUGCUCACCAAGACGCGUAACACGUGGAAACAGGACGGGAUGAACACGGCCGAGUACGAGGUCCUCUCCCGGGAGUACCUGCCCCUCUACACCAACAUCACGGUCAACAUCGGCACUGAGGCCGGCCUGCAUCCGCCUCUUCAGACCGCUGCCAAACCUGCAAAAUAAUAUUUUCUCACAUUCUGGCCUUACUUGCUGGCAGUUUUGUUCUUGUCAGGAUGGAAGCAACUACCAGAAGGUGAGACAAUUAUUCUUAUUAGCAGCCAAAAUGGACUCCUAGCUAUACCGCAUAUAUCAAAUGAUAUUUAUAGCUGUAUCGUAUACAUCAAAUGAUAUUCAUAGCUAUACCGCAUAUAUCAAAUGAUAUUUAUAGCUGUAUCGUAUACAUCAAAUUAUAUUUAUAGCGUUACCGUAUAUAUCAAAUGAUAUUUCUAGCUGUAUCGUAUAUAUCAAAUGAUAUUUUUAGCAGUUCUCCACUCUGCUUCCUGUGUUGUUCUUCCAAGCGAGUGUGAGACGUUGGACUCUGUGAGUUUGUAUAUCGACUGCUCAAACCCGGUGAUGCCUUCGAAUGUCCUCGGCUCAUAUCUUGCAUGUUUUUUUUUUGUUUGUUUUUUAUUGGAGUCAUUUUGCCUUCUUUUUUUUUUCGAAACAUGUGAACACACCGAAAGAUUCCAGCGACACGGAACUUGUCCUUCCCCAAAAUGACGUGUUCUCGGUCUCGCUAUAAUGUUCUUAAAGGAGAAGAACUGGGAAGUUGAAAAUGUUCAACCUUGACGAAAUUCUAAAUAAAACACAUCAAUUUGAAAAAGUACCAUAAAUGCUGUAAUUAUAGCCUGAGUGAUAAUUUAAUAUAGACUGUUUUUUUGGGUUUUUUCUGAAAAUGUAUUCAAGACAAGUACCGUGAAGCCUCGAUUUACAAACUUAAUUGGUUCUUUAACAGGGUUCAUAAAUCGAAGUUUGUAUAGUGAAGCAACUUUCUCUACAAGAAACAAUGUAAAUAUGAAUAAUGUGUUCCAGCCUGGACAAAAGUCUGUAUUUUAGUGACAGCUUGUACACUUUGAACGCAAUAUAAAGUGCUAUACAGUACUGUGUAUCAAACAUAAGGAGGUGAUGGAUCAAUUUUAUCGUUAACAAGCUGAACACACAGAAAUUCCUUUGCUGCCUUCACAAACAAUCAGAAAUCACAAAAAUCCUUAACUUUUUAACAACUAUAUUGUUUAAAAAUAAAUAAAUAAAGAAAGUAAAAUCCCUUAUAUUCAUAUUGACAAGGACCUGAGGAGAAAGCAGCAGACAGAGGGAGAGAAGGAAGGGGAGAGGUCAUGUUUUUUCCCCCUUGUGAAAUAAGUCUGCUGUGGCAUGUUUUUCCAGAUGAAUCCAAGUAAAACUUGCUAUGUACGAAGCCUGCUUCAACGAUUCUUUCAUACUUGCGAGCGCCAUUAUUGUGUAUUACUUGCAAAUAGUACACAAUUUCCACCUUCUUUCCACGCCGGUUUGUCGUCCUUUUUUGGACUAAGUGAGUUGGCAAAAUGGACAAAACUUGUCAAAAGGAGAAAAAAAGGCACUGAGUAGUGUAGCAAGACACAUGGAGGGCCCGCCUCCUCACUAAAAUGCAGCGCCCUGCUUUUUUUCCUACAGGCGGGGCACAAACAGAUUGACUGAAGCGUUCGUACACAGAGACGCAGGUUUGCACACGGAGGCAUAUUUGGCUCGGUCUAAAAGUAUGUCAAUCGCAAAGUUUGCAAAUAGAUGGGUUUGUAAACCGAUUGUACCUAUUUAAAUAGGAUAAUGAUUUGGAGUGCAUGAGAAAGUGGAAAGAGAAAAUGUAGCUCUUUGACCACUUAACAGGUAGUUUGCACAACACAACUAAUGUUGUACUUGUUAAGGGCAAACUGCUCAGUCAGCGUUAAUAGUGCUGAUGAGUAGUUGAUGUUAAAUAGAAAAUCACUCACAGAGGAUCUUAUCUCACCAUUUUGGACAUUCCCUGAAGCUUUUGUCAAUAACAUUUUGAGCGAUGUUGCUAACAAAGAGACAAAUAAUGAAGCGCUGAGCAAAGUUAGCAAGCGUCUGCAAUGCUGGGCACAACAUGGUGAUCCAGAUCAGCCCCAAAAUGUACUCGCUUGUUCUCUAUCCCAUUUCUGAUAUUUCCUGAAAUUUUCAUCAAAAUCCGCCUAUGACUUUUUUAAAGACUUAUGUUGCUAACUUAUAAACAUACAUAUACUUGUAACAAAUGCAGCUACUGCCAUCUUGUGUUUAUUAUAUUAUCGUCCACCUUUUAAAACACAUGCUAAUUACUUUGCUUUGGCAGCACAAACAAAUAUGUUUUGUAAUGUAAACAUAAGUUGUACACAACUCUUAAAUCGUUUUAGUUCAACUUUGACCUGAGAGCCUGCGAGUGCGAACAUUUCUCACUGUUGUUCCUCGGUCUGUGCAUGUCUUGGUCAUUUAAUUUUAUUUUCUUCAGUGGACACUGAAAAACAAAAAGUAACUGAUUUAUUUGAGAUUUAUUUUAAAAUACAAAAAGGAAAGUUGGAAACCAAAACGUUUUUCCUUUUUAGUGUCGAAGAGCAAUAACUUUUUAAAAUGUAAAAUAAAUAUAUCUUUCCCAUAUGUUAGUCGCACCGGACUAUAAGCCGCAGAUAUAUACGUAGUGAAAAGAGUUAAUUACACAGAAAUAUUUUGUGAAUGUUUAUUUACAUACCAUAAUUGUUUCUAAACGGUGUCUGUAACACGGCGGUAAAACAGCUUAUUAAAACAAAGCAGAAGUCAUCGUCAUGGACCUACGAGCUGCGCCAGCUAGCUCUCCAAUCAGCUAAACGGACUCAAUAACUCCACGGUGACGUGUAGGUAAAUUUACAAAACUGAAACAAUGCAAAAGGAAUGCAAUUGUAAGUUUAUAAUACUGUUAUUACGUGUUCGCAUAUUCGCUAAUGUUAACGACGCUAGCGUCAUUACAUUACGAUAACACAUACAAAUAUGCGUGAAAACACUCCUAUGGACGACAUCACACAUGGGAAUUGUUUUAGUUGUAAAAAAUACAAAUGUUGCUUGGGGUGAUGAAUGAUGAAUUAAUACGAAUAGAUACGCUAUGGAUGGCUGGAAGACGAAACAGCACUUCUACUUCCGGUUGAACGCACUCGAACUCGUCCAAAAGAUGGCGGCAUAGCACAAACAACACACCUGUUUAGUGUCUUUGCUUGUUUUGUGUUUUUUAAACUAUUUGCAUUAUUAUCAGCGAAGAAUAAUCCAUAAAUUAGUGCAUUGUUUUAUAAGCUGCAGGGUUCAAACUGUAGGAAAAAAGUAGCAGCUUCCAGUCCGGAGUUUACUGUAAAUAUAAAAAACGGUUUAGUUUUAAUUUUUAUUUCAUAUGAUAAACAUUCAAAUCCCUGGUAAAGAGAUUAGGAAAACAGACCAAAAAAAAUGUUUUUUCAUAUUCUGACAACAGAAGUUUUUAUUUUCAAAGUAAAAGCGGGGAUACUACAGUACCUGUGUGCUUUGCUGAAAUGUAUUUGGAGCCCUACACUGAAACUAUUUUAGACAUGGCACGACGACGACCGGCAUAUAGAGUAAUCUGUGUGCACAUAUAAAUGGAGGCUAAGAAGGAUUUAAUCACGCACCGUAUGACACUAUUAUACAGUAUUAUUUACAAGCCAGUUCGUGGUCCUGUCUUUAAAAUCACUACUUCCGGAUUCGGUGUCACAAUAUGAAAAAAAAAAACAUACCUUUUGGUCCGUCUAGGUCAGUUUUUCCUUUUCUGUUUACUGGGGAUUUUAUUUGUGUUAUACAAAAUAUUAAAUGAAAAUCAAACCAUUUUUAAAUGUUAUUGCUCAACUCUAAAAAAUUAAAACUCUUUGCUUUUUAAUUAAAUUUUCUGCAUUCUAUUAUUAAAUUCAAAUAAACCAAUCGUUUGUUUUUUUGUUUUUCAAUUUCUAUUAAUGAAAUAAAAAAGAUUAAUGACAAAAAACACACACUGACCUUCCUCCUAAGCCUCUUUGCAAUACAUCAGCAAAACUCAACUACAAACAUUACUGAUGUUUGCCAUUAAUCAAAAACAUGUAUUUAAUCCUUAGGUAAGCGGCAUUUCCUUGCUUAUACAGUGAACCUCAAUUUACGAACCCCUCUAUAUGUAAUUUUUCAAAUAUGUCUCCGUGGACAAACACUUGAUUCAGGCAAGAAAGCAGGGCGAAACAUUUUUUUGCCUUUUGACAAGUUUUGCCCAUUCUGCUAACUCGAUACGAGUCCGGAAAACUCAACAGACUGAAAAGAUUGCGUUGAGUGCAUUUAUUGCACUCACAAGCAUGACCACAGCACAGCAUAUUAAGUAACUAUGUCAAGUUUUAGUUGUGAUGAAGCCGGUCUUUUCUGGAACAAGAUGACAGAACACAUUUAUAUCACAGCGGAGAAGAAGACAGUAUAUCUCUUAGAGUUGGGGGAAAUAAUCUAUUUUUAGAUAUAUCGCAAUUCGGACAUGGACGGUUAUAAAAUCGAUUAGUAAACACCGAUAAUCGAUUUAUUUAUUGUAAAUAGUGCAGACAGUUCAAAAAAUUGUCCUGACUGCAGCAAGCCACCUCACCUACAGAUCCGACUACCUCAUUUAUUUUAGGACAAUUAUGUUUCAGUUUUGCACACAUUCUCAAUAGUUUAAUAAAUGUCGGAAUUAAUUUCACUGUUUCUUAUUAUAAAUACACUACUUUUAAAAGUUGCAAGUGAUAAAUGCCAAUUUAGUAAAACAUCAAUAACUGUAAAACUGCAUCAAUAUACUAAGAGUAGGGCUGCAACUAACGAUUAAUUUGAUAAUCGAUUAAUCUGUCGAUUAUUACUUCGAUUAAUAAUCGGAUAAAAGAGACCAACUACAUUUCUAUCCUAUCCAGUAUUUUAUUGGAAAAAAACAGCAUACUGGCACCAUACUUAUUUUGAUUAUUGUUUAUCAGCUGUUUGUACAUGUUGCAGUUUAUAAAUAAAGGUUUAUUAAAAAAAAAUAUAUAUAUAUAUAAAAAAAUAAAAUAAAAUAAAAAAGCCUCUGCGCAUGCGCAUAGCAUAGAUCCAACGAAUCGAUGACUAAAUUAAUCGGCAACUAUUUUAAUAAUAGAUUUUAAUCGAUUAGUUGUUGCAGCCCUAACUAAGAGUAAAUUAAAGAUGAAUUAAUAAUCGAUUUUUAAUUGAAGCGUAGCUCCUGAAUUGUAAUCAAAUCGCAAGGUGCCCAAAGAUUCCCACCUCUUGUAUCUCUUCUCUCUUUCUCGAGUGGCCUCUCGCUCUUCCAAAGCACAAACUCGCAGAGACGUACGGCUCCCCUCUCCCGCCCUACCCGGCCCCGUUUAUUUUCUCUCUCCCUCCUUUCUCGUCACUUCUCUGCCAUUGUUAAUGUGUGUGUGUUUUACUUUUUAAAAAUGUUUUAUUAUUGUAGCAAUAUGGUUGUUUAAGUCAAGGGUUGUUGUGAUUUUGUGGGCACCAUAGUGACUUCUAUGUGCGCGCGUUUUCAUUUUGACUUUUUUAUUACACACAGUUGAUCCAUCACCCCUUUGUUAUGUUUGUUGGAUAUACAGUACUGUAUAUCACUAUAUAUUGUGUACAAACCUUUACUAAAAUAUGGACUUUUGUCGAGGCAUUAUUCAUAUUUACAUAGUUCCUUAUGGAGAACUGUGCUUCACUAUACAAACUCUAUUUACGCACCGAUCAAGUUUGUAAAUCAAGGUUCCACUGUAUCUCAUUGUUGUGUUGACGUUUUGUCAACAAAAACCCACGAGAAAAGCAACAAUGAAAUCUGAUAAAAAGCAGGUUGAUGUUGAUGUUCAAUUUUAACAGCAACAUCAACUUUUCCAGUUCAACUUCUACUAUCCAGCCUGACCUUUUUUAUUGAUUUGGGGAAAAAGCUCCUUUAAAAAAAAAAAAAAAAAAUCUCUGUUUCGUUUUUUUGUACAUUUUGACACAUGCAAAAAGAUCCACAGUCUUUAUCCCAAGCAUGCUUAUUCAGUGUUCUACAUGUCAUUACAAUGUUCCGGAUGUUUACUGUACAACUUGUGGACAUUUGUUAUAAUGUUAAAACACAACUUUUAUUUUAUUUCACUUAAAAAAUGUAUAUAUUUUGUUUGAGGGAUCUUUUCUACUUGCUUCUACUUUGGGUCGCGUGUUUAACGUUGAAUAUCCUUCCUUCCAUAUCUUAUCUUUAUUCAAAAAAAGGGGAUAACUGUUACCGUGAUCGGAUCUUCUUUUUCUUCAACCCGCAAAAACUACCACGAUGUGUGUAUUCAUCGUUAAGAAAAAGCUCCUCAGUUGAAAGUGAAACCAAAGAUGACUUCACGCUUCUUCUCCACGGUGACUCCUUUUCGAUUGCUUUGGUCUUUUCAGCCAACCUGAGUUUCUGAUGACAUGCAGGGCACACAGCACUACUUCUUUGAUGCCGUUAGUGACGCGUGCUUGAGACUAAUGAACACAACAAGAAGCCAAAGUGCAGAUUUCUUUUUUUUAUUAAGUUGUUUUUAGCAUUAUUUGACUUGACUCCUUUGUGAUACUGCAGGUUUAGUCCUGGACCAGCCGCUGUUAGCUAGCUAGCCCUGCCUUUGUGUGUGUGUGCGUGCGCGGUUUCAGUGCACAAGAGUGGCCUUAAAUUCAGUAAUAAUAAACGUGUUAUUGCAAAGA
Molecule: long non-coding RNA, 6785 nt
Organism: Entelurus aequoreus (snake pipefish)
Lineage: Eukaryota; Metazoa; Chordata; Actinopteri; Syngnathiformes; Syngnathidae
Exons: 2
Source: RefSeq, a predicted model, not a curated record